UCUUUCAUAUAUGAUUACAAUGUAUUUAGAAUAGUGGAUCCUUAUGACUAUUCAAACACAGGUAAAUAUAAUUGUUAGCAUAGGUAAUAGUAAAUACUAGGUAUAGGUGAUUAGGUACCUUUUUUGCUAAAAUCUAGGCAAUUUUUGGUAUUAACUUUAAAAUAAUGUUAUGUUUUAGUGAUAAGUAGGGCUCGGAACGUAUAGGACUUUUUUGAUUUUUUAAAGUGGUUUUUUGUGGAUUUUAAAUAAAAUAAAUCCUAAGCCCUAAUGAUAGGUGAUAACAUGUUAAUAUAGUAUUAACGUUGUGGUUCAAUAGAUUAAAUUAAACACAUUAAUACAUCAAUAAUUUGUUUUUAUGUAUAAACAAUUCUAAAUAGUAUUUUAUAAUAAUAAAUAAUAUUAAUAUUUGUAUUUUGCUUUUAUAUUUAAACAAAGAUAUGAUCAAAAAUCAAUCUUCGAGUAUUGAUUUCCAGACUUAGGCCCAUUUUACCAACGUAAACGUUGAUUUUAAACUGAGUUUAUAAAAUAAUCGACCAAUCGUGAUCGGUUAUCAGCUAUAAACUCAGUUUAAGAAUCAAAUAAACGUCAUUUUUUACGUUGAUGAGAACGGCCUUUAGUGUACUUUCUUUGCUUGUAUUAUAUAGUAACUUAUUACUUGUAUUUUUUAAAGUUGAGUAGAUAUCCUUUUGAUCAAUUCUAAAUUUGAUUUAGAUAUAUUAAAUCUAUUGAUUCAACUGGAUCAAGGAUCUUCAAUCUUUUUAAGCAGCAGUUCAUUUAUUUUUUAAAACAAUUAUUACAAGCCGCAUUUAUAAUAAAAAAAUGUAUUUCAUACAUUCAUACAUUCAUACAUAUACAUACAGAAAUUUAGUUCUAGAUUCAAAACGUAUCAAAAAAUAUGGUUAUUGAUUUUACUACAAUGUUUUUUUUAAACAUUUUUUUUUUUGUCUGUAAAGAACAUUUGAUCAGAAUACUUUCUAAAAUCAAAAAAUUACAAAAUACCUUUAUGUGAUCUAUUUGGCGCUUUAGAAAUAUAGUUGUUUAAUAUUCCAAGGAGUUUUUAAAAUAAUUUGAAAAAACCAAAAACAAAAUUAUAAGAAAAACAGAUUAAUAUUUACAGAGUUCCGCGGCGUUACUAAUUUCGGUUGUAAUCCAAUGUUACAUGUAACUUACUAUUAAAAUCGACCUACAAGAUGAAUCGCGUGAUAUAGUAUGUGACCUCUCUAAUUAUUAAAAUAUAGAUUGAAGUGCUUAAAGAUAUUUUUCAAAUAUUGGUAAAAGCUUAUUAAAAGCAAACGUUCAUCACACAACACGCAAAACAAACUGAAAACAGAUGUCUGAUGAUUGACAACUUAGCUGCCUAAACAAUGUUAACCAACUUUAUCUUUUUAAAUAUUCCACAAUUAAAAAAUCUCUAACGUGUAUACAAUGACUCAUAAGUAUUGUGAUCAGAUAUAAAAAUCCUAAAAUCCAUAAUAUUUUCAAAAAAAUAGUACGAUUUCAUGUACUUAACUCUAUUGCUGAGGACACAGGACAGUGCAUCAAAAAAGACUACUGUUCUACGAAACGUACUCUUUUUCACAGUCUUUUUCUGGUCACCGUAUCCACAUGUAAUUUUAUGAAAUCAUAAUUACUAUAAGAGUCCUUAUUUAUAAAAUACCUAUCAUCUAAUUAAUAUAACUUUAUCUUUAACCGUUAAAGAAAUAGAAAAACAAUAACAUACGACUAGCGUGCGCAGGUCCUCUUGACAAGGGAAGUAAAUAUAUUUGAAUCAAACCUUACAUAAAAAAUUUCAAUAUUUUUGUACUUAAGUCUCCAUUACAUUGAUUUUAUAUACUUAAUAUUUACUUAAUGAAGAUUUUAUAUGGGAGGGAUUUGACUGAGUUUUUGGGGAGGGAGAUAAUAUCCUCCAAAAACCGCUCCUCUAUUUGCGUCAAUGCACAAAAUCAAAAGAACGUUAGGGUUUAAUAUUUAAAAACAAAUUCAUACCUAACACGUUUUUUUAAUAACACUGUCAGAAAAUUUCAGCUCCCUCUCCUACCUCCACCUGUUCCCACUGGUCACUGUAAGAUACGUACAUUUAUUUUCCCAUUCUUACAGUUACAGGCUUAGGACUGUAAACUUAGAAGUAAAGUAGGUAUGGUUAAAAAUGUGUGUACCGGUCAUCUCUUAAAUAAGAAUAAGAAUAAUAAUUCAAAUUUAAAAUUAUUUUAAGCAUUGAAAUGGAAGCCAACAAGUCAUAAUAAUAAUAAUAAAAUAAUUAUAAUCAUAAUACAUAAGGUGAUGAUUUGAAGUAAACUUUUUUCAAAUUUUGUAACAGUGUAAGUGUCCCAUAACAUAUUCCAUAGUAUGAUAGAAGUUAAAUAAAAGUUUAAAAACGUACUACAUUAUACCUACAUUUAUCGUGUUUAUUAUAUUAUAUUACGGGAACCAAUUUAGCAGUCAGCUCCCAUUUCGCCGCCGUUUCAUUUCGCUGCCGUACCAUUUCGCCGAAUUUAUUUUAUCGCUGUUUCAUUUCGUCAAAUUUAUUUUUUAAGUUACUUAAUAAACUUAAAAGUUACAAAAUAUCAAAGGUGGACGAGUUAAUGAAAAUUAUUAACUGUUGCAAGUUAAUUGAAUUCGUUUAAAUUACCUUCAGUUAAAAGUUAACAAAAAAAAUAUUUAACUCAACAUGUUUACAAUUUAGAUGAAAAAUAAAAUUUAGAAUUCAGGGAACCAAUUCAGCAUAUGGGUUUUGAGCUCGAAGCCCAAUUCGGAUACAUCCAUAUUAUUAUACCACGCACAAUGAUCUGGUGGGUCAUAUUAUUGGAGGUAUGAUGGCAGGUCACAUAUUUGACUACGUCCACGAUUUCAUUAUUUUACAUUUUUUGCUUCGUGUUUUCUACCAGGUAUAAUGCUUCAAUAAUCAAUAAGAAAACGACAAGAGAUGUUUUUUGUUCCAAUUUUAAAUUAGUUGUUGAGUUAAUAAAUUUUUUUUUUGAUUUUCCAAUCAGUUUUCAUUUGAUCAAAACCGAAAAAAAACGUACAAUGAAUGGGAAAAUUUACGACAAAAAUAGUUUCAUUAUUUUAAAUAUUUUUUUUCUUUGUAGAGACUUAAUAGAAAAUUUUUAUUUACAUUUUUUCGUAAAUCUUGUAACCAGUCUAAUUUGAUUUAAAUAGACAGAAUAUAUGCUAUGCUCAAACAUUUUUUCUGGGCCUCUAAUAAUAACAAGAUAAUCGAGUUGAAGAACCCAUUAAAUCUACACUAUUUGUUAGAUACUAAUUCUAGAUUGCAAAUGCACUUUUUUUGUUUCUAUGUCCUUUUCUAUAUUUCCACAUUCUUAUGCAUCAUAAAAUCUCUGGACCAAAUUAUCCAUCAUCUCUUAUUAUAUCCGAUAAACCCCAGUACCCUACUUUUUCUUUACUUAUAUGUUUUUUUAGUUAUUAAUAAUAUUAUUAUUAUUAGGGCCUGUAACUUGAUGACCUAUAAAACAUGAACAAAUGCACGAAAAAAAAUGAAUAAAAUGACAAUGACAUAAAAAUGUUAAAAAAUGACCUAAAAAAAUGACUUGAAAAACUUAUUUAAACUGUACAAAUUAGAGGAAGUUAAAUUACAAACAAUAUACAAGAAAAUACAUAAUAUAAUAAAAUAUUUUUUAUGGAAAUGUUUUCUUAUCAUUAAAUGAAAACACAAAGAAAUUAUUUCUGGUUUGCGAUAAGAUAAUACUAUGAAUCGAUUUGUGUUGGCCGACGCGGCACGGUGGUAGCGUCUCCAUGCUAAAUAUAAACAAAUAUUCCAUUAUUGUAUUCCUUAUUAUCUAUGGGUUAAACAUAUUAUCUUAUCUAUCCAUUCAACAUUUCGGUCGAUUUUAGUUUUAGUUUUUUUUUUUUUUUUUUAAUUUUUAUUUAAAAAAUUAAUAUAAGAUGUUUAUGUAGAACUGUGUGGAGAAUUAUUUUUGUAAGAAUUUUAAUAUCAAAAUUUUAACGAAAAUCGUAAACAUUAAAAUUACAAAACAUAUAUAAUGGAACUCCGCUCAAAAUCGUAUUUCGUUAGCAAAAAAUAAUUGUUGAGUACAGAAUAUUAUUUCUUCACUAUCAAUCUCUGCGGUGUUUUAUCGUUGUCCAACAUCUGUAGAGUAAUACAUUUUCGAUUAGAAUUAUUAUUGAUACCAUGAAACGGAACGUUGCCAAAAAUGUAAAAUAAGAUAAAGGUACCUAGGUAGGUUUAGUUGACAGACUUCUUGUACAGAGUUUCUUAAGCUGCUUCGACACUGUCCAAAAAUAUCAAGUUAAAAUAUGUAUGAAUAUUGAAUGCAGAAUAUUAAUAUAUUUUAGUCGAACAAAUUUACUUAGUGACGAUUGCCGAUUGAAAUUCUAAUAUUGCCGUAUCUCACCUUCCUAUGACCCACCUUCGGUUCGUUUCUGUGUAUCCGUAUCCCACCUUCUCAACUACACACCUACAACAGUGGCUAUACCCGUCCCCAGUAUCAGCUUAUUUUUUUAAUGUUUGCACCGCGUUGUGCCACGAUCAGUUGUAUUUAUAUAAUAAAUCAAUAACUAUAUAUAGUUUCUGCUUGGAAAAUCAAACAAUAACUUGGGUGGUAGCACCCAGAUAAAAUUUCCUUGAAAAUCGGAGCGACAUUUCUGGUAGAAAAAUUACUUACAGAUAAAAAAAAAAAUAAAAAUAAAUUAUUAAACACCAUUAAAAAACCUUCCUCGCUUCACUAAGAAUCUAAAAGGAAAGUUUCUAAAUAAUUGAGUUUACGAUCACAUACUAAAUAAUAUUCGACCUUGUUUCAACCUUUUAGUUUCUGAUUGAUUUUAUAAUGAUGUUUAUUUUCUAUCAAAAAUCUUAUUCCGAUUUACUUUUUCUGACAUGAAAUCAGGCUGCGGAGGUACUUAAAAGAGGUAAUUUUUUGAUUUUCCCAGGAGUUUUUUCAACAAAUGAGAAAAACUGGGAAAAUAGGUACAAUAUUAUUAAAACUAUUAUAACAAAUAUUAUUAAAGAAAAUAUAUGAUAUAUAUGUAAUUGUUUUACCAUUAUACAAGUAUGACAUAUAUAUUGUAAGACAACACUAUCAACCGAACUCUGCUCAGAAUCGUUUUUUCGUAAUCAAUGGUUAAUCGUUGUUUUCAGAUAUACAUAAAAUUACUUCUAACAGUUAGCUGCACGCCUGCUUCUGUCCCCUAGUAUCCUAGGAUAGCUUUUUUAUGUUGCAUUCUAUAGUGGGCAAAUUGUAUUGAUGAACAAAAGUCUGUUUCGUUAUUAUUUUUACUUUUACACUGGUUUAUAUAUUAUAAGCUCAGUAACGGGUAUAAAUUUACUGGUGCGUAAGAUGGGUGCAUAUAAUACCUUUUAUAAUGUACGAAUUUUAGGUUAACAUAUAUCUCAGGUGGCUGAAUAGAUUGAAAGUAGGAUCAACCGACAGAAGUUACUCAAAUUCCCCACGCUACUAGAAAAAAAAUUGUUCUAUUCAGUUGUUAUAAAUUUAUUGAACAUAAAUACUGAUAUUAUAAAUAAUGUUUAUUUUUGUAAAUUAGUUGUCCAACUAUGAAAAAAGCCCGAAAUUAGCCGAAUUUUAUUCAAACAUUCAAUAGUUGGUUUCAUUAACAGUAACAUUCAAUAUAGGUGAUACAAAUGUACAUUGUAAUAUUAUACUCGUAUUAUAUAAUAUAGUAUAAAUAAUAAUAAUUUUAACACGCACCCUGUGGGAGAAGAUCAAUAUAUAUAAAGGAAAAAUACUACCACGGUACCUUUACCUGUCGUAAGAGGCAUGAAAUGUGACGGUGACUGCUGAUGUAAAAUUUUUUCUAACAGUAUAAGGAGUUGUAAACACAAAUUUGGCAGAUUGUCCCAUCUCGGGUAUGCGUGGGGACAACAGGUGAAAGGAGGUAUCAUGAUGCAUGUAUGAUGUUUUGCAGAUGAUUUAGCUUUAAUAGGAAAAAAAUCUGUUAUAAGUUAACAGUAUAGGCUUGAAGAAUAGUGUGUAACACUUAAAGGAAAGGAACUAGGGAUAAAUAGACUUAGAACAAAGUAUGAGUUUGAAGGAACAGAAAAUAUCCUGUCACAGCUAACGACAAUAAGUUAUAAGCAAGUUUAAGAGCUUUAAGUACCUAUAAGAUAUUUUCUACAAAAGAACAAUGGCUUUCAUAAGGAUUACGUGUGAUUGAUUAAGUGGAGAGGAGUAAUCUGUUUAUUUUGAGUAAAGUGGAGUAAUUUUUUUAGGUGUACUUUAAAAUAAUUUCAAAUUAAUCUUAUACAUUUUUAUAUACAUAUACAAAAUUGGAAAAUAAAGUUGGAAAGGUGUCUAUGUUCUAAGAAGUAGGGGCGCCUUUUAGGUAAAUCCAUCACUGAUUUUAAAUGGCUUACUCGACAAUAACAAAAUAUGUAUUCAAUCGGCUAAUGUAGGACGGCUUACUUCACGAACAUGCAAAAUACUACGACAUUGUUGCGUACAGAUAUAAAUUUAAUUACUCUAUAUAUUCUCUCUUCUAACUACCCUCCUGAAAUACAGCGGUACAUCUAUCAGCAGUAUCGACCUUUUAUUUUAUUGGGCAUUUACUUUUUGAAUUUACAAACCUUUUCUACUGUCUGUUUGAAUACUAAGAGGCUUGUUAUUUACACUGUUUUGCAAAUAUACUCACACUAAUUUAUACAUUCAUCGGUUAUCUAGAAAAAUGUGUGUAGCAGUGCUCAGCCUUCACUAGCUGCAGCAUAGUUAACAAAAAUACCGAUAUAUAUUAUUAUGGGCUAUAUUCCUAUAGAUACCGCUGGUUUAAGAUGUAUACAGGGUGUCUUACGAAUACAUACACAUUACAAUAUCUUCUGAAAUAAUAAAGAUAAUCAAAUUCUGUUAUUUUUAUAUUGCUCACAGGGAUAAAGACUACAAAUAUAUACACUUGAGUAAAAUAUUUGUAUUUUAGUAAAAAUAAUAAAAGGUAACUUUUUAUUUUACUAUUUUUAAAAAAUGUAUAGAUUUCAAUUCCAUCUUAUAGAAUUUAUUUUUUUGAAUAGUUUUCUUCAAAUUAUUAAAAAUUACGAAUUUAAUGAAAAUAAAAAGUUUAAACGUCAAUUUUUCCAGAUUAAUAAAUUCUUUAAAAUGGCUACCAUUAAAUUUUCAAAAAUAAUAAAAUAAAAAGUUGUUGUUUUAAGUUUUUUACGAAAACAUAAGAAAAUUAAUUGAAAUAUUAAUAUUUGUAGUCAUUAUUCCUGUGAGUAAUAUAAAAAUAACAGAAUUCGAUUAUCUUUAUUAUAUCUCCGUAAAUAUUACAAUGUGUAUAUCUUCGAAGGACACCUUGUAUAGACUAGAAACAUUGUAAAAUCCGUUUUAUAUUCUGUAGGAGAAAAACAAACAGCGAUAAAAUGGAUAAAAUGCAUUAAAAUAAUAUUAUUAUGGCUAAUAUUAUAUUGUAUUAGUGUGACUUGUGUUUUCGGAACAGAAACACGAAUAAUAGGUAGGUAUAGCAUUAGGUUUAGGCACCUACCGAAGGUAUAUUAUAAUAUAGUAUGUAUAGUACCUAUGUAUAUAUAAUAUUAAUUAAAAUAUUGUAAAUAGGAGUAUAAUUUUACAAAUAAUAUUGGCGUUUAAAAAUCGAAUCAUAUUUUACUGGCAGUCCAAUAUUAAUAUUAUAAUCUAAUCAAAUAAUAAAUACACUAGGAAUCUAAAAUAUAAAUCAUAAAUGCAUUUAAACGCAGAUUGGGAUAAUACGCAGCUCGUAACAAAUUAUUAUUAUAAAUAAUGCUAUAGUAUGUACCGUAUAGUUGUGUGUUUCUAUCGUGUAUGAACGCAACACACGUAUACGUAGUCAGCGUAUAAAAAAAAGUUUUUUUUUUUUUUAAAACAUGAUAAUAUACGGCCGCGAGUCACGGGGAUUACGUCAUCAGGUGACGUCAUUCAUAACACAAACGACUGCCGCCGCCGCAUACGCACGCUGAAAAACACACAUAUAUACAUCACGACACGCAAUAGUAAUUGGGGCGCAUUUAUGGGUGGUAAGCAUAAUACACUAUAUUAUGUUUGUAUGGGCUUGGUUUAGAUGUACGAACGGCUCUUUCUGAACUAUAUACAGGCUGAUUCUUUUAUUAAUCCGAAUUAAAACCUUCCAGGGAGGAAGGGGAAACCCCAACUCGUGUAUUACUCAUUCAACCAUCGAGGUAUGGACGACGUAGAAGUUAGGUUUUUUCGUUACUCUUCCUACUAAAUCCAAUUCCAUCGUGAUUUUUCAUUGACUAGGUUUUAGGUUUACAAUUUUUACCAGUAUGGUAUUUAGAGAGAUGUUAGCCCAACAAGUAGAUUAUGCUUUUCCACUUCCCCCCUCUUACUUUAUCUAAACCCGUCGUGGAUUUCAUCGACAAUCGUAUCUAUAUUUUAUCAAUAAUACAAGUUUAUAUUUUUACGGUGAUAGUGUCACUAGUGUCAUGCAUUUUUAUUUAUAUACCAUUAUCUAUGUUUUCGAAAAUUUUAAAUACGAAUACAUUUGACCAUUGUUUCUUUUUUUAGACAUUACGUACUUUAUUAUUAUUUAUUAUUAUCAUAUAGAACUUUUCGAUGAUAUUUACAAAAUGUACACAAUUUGAAUCUUAUAUAAUUAUUUCUGACUUCAUAUAUCAGCGCUAUUCUUCUUAUUCAGAGGGGGAAGGGAAGGAGAUGUCCAGAACAUGUAUAUUGAAAUUUGUCUCUUAUUUACUCAUUUUUAACAAAUUUAAAGAUGUAAGAUGUAGAUUAUAAUUUAUAAACAUGAUUUAUGAAUAGACAAGGUCUGACGGACAACGAUAUAUUACCUAUAUUAUAAUACUUUUAAUUAACACAAAUUUAAUGUUGUUAUCAAUUAUAUUAUUUAUGGGUGUAACGCAAUGUACUUGAAGUUAAUAUUUCAUAUGAAUAUUAUUUCCAUAAUAUAUUUUAUAUUAUUUCAUCUAUAAUAACAGUGCUGUGGCCAAGGAAUCUAUGGGCUCAAUACUCCCUCCAAAAAAAAAAAAUGUCAAUCAAAAACGACAAUAAUUUGUUCAGAUCCAUUAAAAAUACAAUUUAAUGCCAUAUUUGUCUUAUUUAAUAUAAUGAUACUGUGAGUCUAUCGCCAAAUACCCCGUAUAUUGAGAAUGGCAAAUGGUUAAAGUAGGGGGAAAAGAAGGAAUGGAAUCCAUCUACAUAUGUGUGGUAAACUUAUCAAUUCUCUUUAGUUUAAGUCUUAGAUAUUCGAAGAGCUCUUUGAAGGGACUCUAAUUAUUUCCACAGAGACAUUUUUAAUGAAAUUUAAAAACAUUCAAUGUGAUUAAAAUAAUUUAUUUAAUACCUAUUAUAUAUAUCAGACUCUUUUUACUUUAUUUUUACUAAGCAGGCAUAGGUGUAGAAGAAUAUUUUAAGAAGGAGAGUUUAUUUUUAAACUUUAUUAAUAUGAUAUUUUUAUGAACAAAUAUGUGUGAGAAAAAAACAUUUUGAAAGUCUUGUCUACAUGAUGGAUUACCUAAAAGUUGUGAGAUGUGAACAUGUUGUUAUUAGAUGAAUAAUAUUUCUUUCCCUAACCUAACCUAGUAUAAUAAAAUAUUGUCAACAGUGUGCUGCGAAUUAAAUUCUUUGGCCAUAUAUUGUUUGGCCGUCAAAAACUAUAUGUACAAUUUUAAGGGGCAAAAAUCAAAUUUUUAAAUUUUUUUGCCAUUCACAUUUAAUAAAGUGAUGUAAAUUAUAAAAUAAUAAAAUAUAACCAACUAAAACCCAAAAAGGUCUCCAUAAAUUGCAAAUAACACUUUUAAGACUUUCUUUAAAACCCAUUGAAGUCUGCAAAAAAUACCUAAACAAUUGAGCAUUGAAACAUGAUGACGUAUUAAGCUGACACAGCUAUUAUAGAGCAUGCAUUUACGAUUUUCUACAAAAUUUAGUUUCAAAAUAAUUAUAAAAUGAAUUACUAUAUUUUUUAGAUUCCGAGUGUAGCGAGGUAGCUAUUAAAUUUACAAUGCUGUUUAUUUCUUCUUCUUUUUCUUCUUUGUUCUAGUCUGUGGACACGUUUUUUCCUAGUAAACUUGCUCCGAUUUUUACAUGUAAUAAAUUUUCUAAAAGCUGAACAUGUCUAGAUGGUACCUUAAAAAAGUCAUUUUUGAAGUCAUGAUUUUUGAAGCUGUUUUUUAAAUAAAAGCAUUUAAGUGAGAAAAAACUUUGGAAAACGUACAAUUUAAUUUCACGAUUUCGUUAUUUUAUAAAAACACAGACGACUUUUUUUACCAAAAAAAUGAAAUGAAAAUGAAAAUCACAAAACACUUCUUUUGUUGAUUUACUUUAUCACGGCAUCAUCGCCAAAACUUUGAGCUUUUAAGAAAUUUAAAUUUUUGCGAGUUUUUUGCUGUAAUUCGGUUAUAAAUACAUGUAGAGACUUGAAACUUGAUAAUAAUACUUAUAUUGGAUUUACCUAAAAGUGGUGACAUUUUUAAAAUUAUCAGACAACUUUUUUCCUUUUUUAAUAAGCGUUUUGAAAUCAAAUUUAAACGAAAAUCGGAAAAAAAAUGUACGACACUUCAAAUUAUGUAUUACCAAACUGCGCUCGGAAUCAUCUUUCAUCAAGCAAUAGUUUAUCGUUGCAUACAGAUAUAAAUGAAAUCACCUUAUGUAUCUUACCUUCCCAAUUUCUUACCUACAACAGUAGCCCCUCCCAUCCCCAGUAUCAGCUCUUUUUUCUUUUGAUAUAUUGUUUUGGUUUUCUAUAUUGUUUAAAAAAAAUGCUUUCAUAUUUUUGUUUUGACUUCUGAAAACUGAGUGUAACCUCUAAUGAACCUCCUGUUAAAUUUUCAUGUAUAGAAAAGGCAAAUGUUAUAUGUCGAAAUUUCUCUACGAAGAUUUUUAACUCAAUUAAAAGAAUAAUACAAUUUAAAAUAAUAAAACCAUUAUUUCCUUAAACUCUCCCGUUCUUUCUAAGUUUAUUUUCGGUUCGUCUUAAUUAUAAAAAAACUACAAAGAAAAAAAAUGACUAUCUAAAAUAUCAACAAGAUUAAUAAUUAUGCAACAAAAAAGAUCAUUUGUCGUUUUUUACUAGAGCAAUAUUUCUAGUGGAAAACAUAAUGUGUAAAAAGAUGUCCUAGGAUAAUUGGGACGGAUACAGAAAUUAUUAUAGGUGAUUUAAUUUAUACCUGUACGCAACGAUAAACCAUUGUUUACGAAAACACGAUUCUAAGCGGAAUUCAGUAGAAUUCAGUAGAAUUCAGUAGAUGCUUUGUCAACAAUAUAUAAAUGUCAUAAUAUAGUAAAAUAAUUAAAUAGGCUUUCUAUAUUUUCUUUAUUUAUAUUUGUUUAAUGCUGUACUGAUUAUCCCAGUUUUCUUACGUUUUUCCCAGUUUUCCUACGUUUUUCCCGGUUUUCCAAUGUUUUCUCCCGGUUUCUUCACAUUUGCCUAGAAAACUCUUGGGAAAAUCGAAAAAUGAUCUCCCUAAAGUACCUUCCUAGUCAAAUUUCCUUUUAGAAACAUAUUUAUCAUUAUAAAUUAGAGCAAAAUUUCUGGUAGUAAAGUUUGUGUACAGAAAACAAAAAUCGGAAUAUAUUUCGUACAAUUCCCGUUUUUUUCCGGUUUUUCACAUUUGAUGAGAAAAUUGAAAAAUGACCUCUUUUAAGUACCUCUUCACACCAAUUUCCUUUCGGAAAAGACGCUACUCUUACAAAUCAGAGCAAGUCUUCUGGUAAAAAAGUUGAGUCCAGAAAAAAAACACCUUUGUAAAACCAUAAGCUUCUCGCUCCAAUCAGAAUCUAAAUUGAAAAUAAUAAGAUAGCCAAUACUGAGGCGUACAGUAAAUAUUUGUCCACUUUUCCUGAUUUUCCUCCAAUUAUUAUGAAAACCCCUUGGUAAAUCAAAAAUUACCUCUUCCAUUGCACCAACCAAAUAAAAAUUCCUUUCAGAAUAGGUGUUACACUUGAUACAUAGGAGCAAUGUUAUUGUUUGAAAAGUUACUCACAGACAUAAAAUAAAAUAAAAAAAAACACACAAUGAUUGCUACGUUCCGAAUCUAAAAUAAUUAGGUAUAACAAAAGUUGUACCACAUAUUUGUUUUUAUACAUAAAAAUAGGUAUCUAAUGAAAAUUCAACAAUGAACCGAAAAUAACGAAAUAUUAUGCUAUAUUUUUGAAAUUAUGAGCUUUCGUUUAAUCAAAACUCGAACAUUUUUUUAAUUGUAUUAAAAGAAGGCAAAUAAUCUUAUGUACAUAUACAUAUACUAUAUAUGUUAUAAUAUUUAGAAAAAAACGCCCCUUAAAUAUUCGCACUACACCAUAUACUAUAUGACUAUACUGACUUACUGUUUAGUUAACAUAAUUAUAUGGGUAGCGUUGAACUAGUAUGACGUUAGUUUUCGGUGAUACUAUUCAGACGUUUAUAUUGUUAUAUUAUAUCGACUCAAUCACUCGCAACUAAUUAAAUAGUCUUUUACCAGCUUUACCGUCCCCCCUUCCGCUCGCAUACAUUUGGUUUAAACUUACACUUUUGGUCAUUGUAUAACCUGCAGUAGUCAUGUGUUCAGUAAUCAUUAUUCAUUAAUAAACAUAUUUUGUUUAUUCAAUAAACACUUCGUAAUUUAAAAUAGCAUGUAGGUAUCUAUAAUAGAUAUAGUAUGAUAGCAACCUUUCAAAAAAAUGAUAUAAAAAAUAACAGUUAUUUUAAUUUAUAAUAAUAUGUAUCUAAUACAUUAUAAUUGAUUGGUAUCAGAUAAACAGGAAAUCAAUAGAAGCUCUACUAGUUAAUAGUAGUAAUUAGUUGUAGUAGUAUUAGUAGUAUUAGGCGGACUGCCUAAUACUACCAAUACCUAUGAACUAUAGGUAUCUUUAGGUAGUUAUCUUUGUAAGUACUAAUAUUAUCAUAUUUAUAAGUCACGGGCACCCAUGGACAUGGCAAUGGUUAGGCUCGGAUUAAGGGUUAUGGGAGCUCGGGAACUCAUAUUAGUAAGAGGACCUAUUAAAAUUGUCUAUUGAAUGGAACAAAUAUUAAAAAAAAAAAUAGUCAUCAUUUAAUUUUUAUACCUACUCUUGAAACAAGGUAUUGUUCGUUUAAAUAUAUCUAAUAAGCAAAAAAAAAAAGAUUUUCAAAUAUUUGAUUCAUCUCAUAAUAUGGUAUUUUUGUGAGCUUCGGAAACGUACCCACCCUUCCCUCCCUCUUAAUCUGAGCCUAGUAAUGGUGGUGAUUGGUACAAGAAUUUAAAUAAUAUUAUUAUAGUAAUUAUGUCAAUCAAACAUCAGUACUCAAAUUAGAGGGAAGACGAAAUAAUUAAACAAAUUUUUGAUACAUGUAUUUCAUUAAAAUUUGAGCUUUAAACGUUUAAAAAGAAGAUGUCUAGAUAAAUUUAAUUUUUUUUACCACUAAUUGCAACUCAUAAUAAAUCUUGUGUAAAAUUUUCGAGCAUUUUCACUGAGCCAGAAUGAUUGAAUAAUUAAAUAAUAUCAAUCACAUAAUACCAAAUUGUAUCCUUAAAAUAACAAUAAAUAAUUGAUAAACUGUUAAAUUAUUUUGAAAAUUGUACCAUAAGAAACUAUAUACCUACAUAUAUUAGAUUCAGUGAAAUUCCUGGCCUCUACGAUUAUUUUUCACUGAAUUACAAACAAAAUCGAAUAUAACACAAACUCUUAUUAUAUAAAUAUUUUCGCGAAGUUUUUUUUCGGGUUUUCCUCAUUAUUAAGAAUAUUACUAAGAGACGAUCUGUAAAUCGUUCUACAUGAAGUUACAGAUACGAAUUUGGUUUCGUAAAUUAUAGUCAGUUGCAAGUCUGUAAAUAAUACAGAACGUUCGAGCAACACCCAAUUUGGUUUACAGAUCUAAAAAUGCGUUAAUGGUUUUGUAUGUCCUUACAGAAAUUUUGUGCAACCCGACCUUGUAGCUUAGUAGCUUAGUAGUAUUCUCUGUUUAGGGCGUUAUAGGACAGACUAUAUGGUUCAUUAUGAAAUUAUCGUAAAGACCCAGGGUUUAAAAAGAUAUAAUUAAAAACCCAAAACUGGACAUAAGUUUGCAUUGUCCAUUACAAUUUGUAUAAUUGAAAACUUAUGUUUCUAAUGCUUUAAUUUUUAAAUCUCUAAUUAUCGUAUAAUCUUUUGUCUCAUUUUAUCCUAGUUUGUAUUUCAUUUUACCUUACCGUUAAGGUAAAAUUAGACACUUGACAAAUUCGUUUAAAUCUUUAUUUUAUUCACAUUAAUACAUAUUUGUGUAACUUAUUUACUGAGGUUUUUAAGUGUUUAAUUUUGUUACAUUUAUUAAUAAGAAGACGUCCGCCACUGUCAUAAGUAAUUUAAUAUAUACCUGUAAGCAACGAUAAACCAUUGCUUACGACAAACCGAUACUGAGUGGAGUUCUGUUGACAGCGAUGUUUUGUCAACAAUAUAUGUACAUAUCAUAAUAUACAUGGCAUAUACCAUGUUAUAGUAAAUUAAUUAAAUAGGCUUUAUAUAUAUUCUUUAAUAAUAUUUGUUCAAUGUAGAACCAACAUAUCCAAUUUGUCUACGUUUUCCCGGUUUUCCCAUGUUUUUCUCAGUUUUUCACAUUUGCUCGGAAAACUCAUGAGAAAAUCGAAAAAUGACCUCUUUAAAGCACCUUCCCAGUAAAAUUCUACUCCAGUGAAUUUCCACAGCAGGAAAAAAGAAGACCAUAAUAUUUUUGAAGCUAAUACCUGCAUUUCUUACAUUUUCCCAUUUUUCCAACGUUUUUUUGUUCAUAGAACUGAAAAAAAAUAAACAUCUUUGUAAAACCAUUAGCUUCUUCACUCCACUCAAAAUUUUAAAUUUAUUAUUUUUUAUAUAUAUAGUAAAACGUUAAACCUUAUGUAUCUCAUUUUGUCCCGGUUCCACUAACUUGUUGAAGUAACACAAAUACCUAGUUUUAAAUUCGGAGCGUAAUGAUUAGGUGUCUAUUGUUUUUACUAUUUAGUGUGUUUUUAGAUUUGGAAAGUAGCGAGAAAUUUUUUCUAGUUUGUACAUUGAGGGGUCAUUUUUUAAUUUUUUAGGGGGUUUUAAAAAUAAUUGGCAAAACCCAAUAGAAAAUUAUACGUAAAACGGCUAACAUUUACAAAGCCCCACGGAGUUACCGAUUUCAUUGUUUUUAAAUUUUGCAAAUUAUGUUUUUCAUCAGAAAUAUUGCUCUAAUAAAAAAACAACAAGUUAGAGACAUUUUUUGUUGCAUUUUUAAUUUAAUUGAUAAGUUACCAAAAAUCGUAAUAGUUUGUUUCAAAAACAUAUUUAAAUGUUAACUUUUCUAAAUCCAUUCAAACUUUUUAACUUAAUUUUGCCAAUUUCUUCAGCAUCUUAUAGAAGAUAAUAUUCAAUAAUAUGAGACGUAUAUACAAUAUGCAUGAAUAAUUAACUUUGAGCAAGAUGGAAUCUCUACAUUUACCAUUCUUAAUAUGUAGAAAGAGAUAUUAUAUCCAAUAACAUCCUUGAAGUUGGCCCUUACACUUUGUUAAUCAAGUUCUGAAUAAUGUCUGCAUUUUGCAUGUAUAAUCAGCAAGAAUUUACAAGUUCAUUCCCGCAAUUUGCAAAUCACUUUCAUCAGAUCUACGAGUUUUCAACAUUUCUCCUAACCCUUAUACUUACAUGUACAUUUGCACUAUUUGCUCAAUUAGUUACACAAAUAAGUACUAAUCGUACUACACAAUUAUAUAUUUUACAAAAUACCCUCAAGAAAAAGACUUUUUAUAAUAAAUUUAUUGAUAUAUUUUUCUUAAAUUUGUGUGUAUGAAUUUAUUUUAAUAUAUUUAACCCUUUCCCCCAUAGAAAAAUCCUGGUUACACCACUACGUUUAAUUAUUAUCGUGCACACGCGCAUUGUACAAAACUUUCGUACACGAUACACGUGCAAUAUUAUCGAGCGAAACACUGCAGUAACAACUGACAAUACACCUAUACGUACUUAUAAAUACGUGUUCAAUAAGCUAAUAUCAAGACUCAAUAGGUGUGAUUUUGAUUUACAUACAGUAUAAUAAUAUAACAUACAGGGUGAUCAAUAUUAAGUAAAACAUUCAUUAACUCGGUAGAUAAUAAUUUUUUUGUCAUAAUUUGUUUUUUGGAAAUUUAUGAAAUUAGAAGAAAAUGACCGUUAUUUUUUAGUCAUGAUAUUUUUAAUUUCCAUCAACUCGUUAACGAGAUAUUUUACUUUUAAAUUUGUAUAUUGUGGGGGGGGAUAUUAGUGGAAUACAAUUUAUGUGACGGUGCAAUGUUGGAAUAAAAUUUCAUUACUUUUCCUCUAUACGCACGAAAUUUCAAAUGUAAAAAUGGAAUAUCUCAUUAACGAGAUGAUGGAAAUUAAAAACUUCAAUACCGAAAUUCAUUUAAAUUAACACUUCAUCCAUCUAUAUGGCAUUUAUAAUUUUAUAAUAUACAAUGCAAUUUUAAAACCAAAAUCAGAUAGUGAUUUAAGUGGUUUCACCCCUCCCCACCCCCCAAAAAAAGACGGAAAUUUAAAAUUUUAGAGGUGCUUAGUUCUUCAACUGUUUAAAAAACAAAUUCCGAUAAAAGAUUAAUAUUUCCUGAGAUGUCUUACGUUCUAUUAAUCACUCUGUAUAGUUAUAGUAACGACCUUGACGACGACGCGACGACGACGUUUCCCGUUAACAUAAUAUAUAAGUGUGUUUGGAUUUUUGCUUUGCAGUAGAAUCGGUAAAUAAAUUUAACGAUAAGGUGAUUAAAAUUGUUUUUAGUUUUAAAUCAAUUCUUUAAUUCUUAUUGGUUGUAAAAUAAUAUUAACCUUCGUAUAGGAAACAUAAUACUGAAACAACGUGUUGAAAUACGGUUAAAUUACGGUUAAUCGUCUGUUUGAGGUCAUGUUCGGAGUUAUGUCCUCCAGCGACGUAAGUUGAGAGCCCCUCAUAGGAGCUGGGGGUUGGAGAUUUACAGUUUAUAGGAGGAAAAAUGUGUAAACGUACUCAAACUACUACAUUUUGGGAAAACCCAUUACGUUUUGAAAAUGAAUAAUGAGUUUGAAUUUCCAUUAAACGCCACACUCGCAAAAGUAUUGCGGGUAAUAGAAAUAGUUUCAUAUUUUAUAUAAUAAAAUUGUUUGUUGUAUUUAUACGCACACUAAGUACUAUUAAAUGUUCAACAGAUUCGAUUUUUCCCGAACGGCCAAUCGCGAAGAAAUAAAAAGCGUAUUUAUAGUGGUGCAAGUGUGCAAACCAGCCGCCCCUACCCUCCGGGCUAGUUUUGCCCUUACAUGUACCUAUAUUAUUUUUUUCAUUAAAUUGCGUUUAUGUUUCAGAUAUUUUGUCCGGUUACCGGCUACCCAUUAUACCUGGCACCUGCACAAUGCACAUAAAACAGAGUAUAUAUUUAAACAUGACAAACAUAUAAAAAUACCUAUAGUCGUAUAGUAAUGUAAUAAAGAAAAGGUAUAUGUUUUUGAGAGUCACAUUGGAAACCGCAGUGGUGUCAUUUUUCCGGGGGAAGAACAACUUAAACAUUUGCCCCGAUCCAAAGCUGGGCAAGUUCCUCGAUUUUUCUUUAAUUUUCUUUUUUAAAAUAACAAAUUACACUAUAUGUAUCUACCUACUUUUUAAAACACUAAAAAAUUAUCGACAGAGACAUAUUGAGGAUAUUUACAUUGUAGACUAUGCCACUGCAGGUAACAAGUUAGGUACUAUAGUAAUUAUAGUGUUAAGUUAGUGUAGUCUACUUUAAGUUUACUUUUUUUGUCAUACCUAUAAGCAUCUAUAAUACACAAAUAAUAUGUAGUGUAUAUUUAAAAAAUUGCCUACAGAAUAUAAAUAUUUUAAACAUAAUGUAGCUACACCUUGUAAAUGAAUUGUAAAAUGCUAAAAAAAAACUUACGAUCGAUUAGACAUAGCUAUUUCGUUAAGUGUUGUUAAAUCAAUCGAAAAAGUAAAAUAAUCGUUAAGAUAUAAAAAAAGUUGUCAAUCGGUAAAAAAAGUUCCCCAAGUAGUGAACUAAUUACUUAGCUUUGUAUUAUACUAUUAUCCAAUUUCAUCUCAGUUUAGCAUUUAGACUUGUUUCAAGUCAUAGUUUUAGAAUUUUAGAACUAGUAUAAAGGCAGCAAAACUUAAGUUUGCUUAGGUGUAUUUAAACGCUCGAGCCGGGCCUGAACGUAGGAUAUAUAGAGUAAUUUAAUUUAUAUUACUAUGUACCCAACGAUAAAUUAUUAUUAAUGAAAAACAAAGUAAAAACAUGUUUUAAAAUGUCGUUAAUUUUAGGAUUUCCAUACAAAUUUGAACUUAACACGCGAAUAAAAAAAAUUAUUAGACUGCGUUUUAAUUUUUUGUUUACCACCAAUUAGUAUAACUCACGGUAAAUUUUUGUAUAGGUAUUUUAUUCACUAUUCGAACAUAACGAGUGCUUCUCGCUAUUUUCCAAUAUAAAACCCUUAUUUAAUCCCGAGGAGUUGGUAAUAUUAUGAAAUUUUGCCCCAGUUUAGCAAAUACCGAACUGACG
Molecule: long non-coding RNA, 18364 nt
Filed under: Cinara cedri
Lineage: Eukaryota; Metazoa; Arthropoda; Insecta; Hemiptera; Aphididae
Source: RNAcentral